UACGUAGGGGGCAAGCGUUGUCGGAAUCAUUGGGCGUAAAGCGCGUUUCGGCGGUUCGGUAAGUCUGCUGUGAAAGUCCAGGGCUCAACCCUGGGAUGCCGGUGGAUACUGUCGAACUAGAGUACGGGAGAGGCGAGUGGAAUUCCCGGUGUAGCGGUGAAAUGCGCAGAUAUCAGGAGGAACACCGGUGGCGAAGGCGGAUCUCUGGGCCAUUACUGACGCUGAGGAGCGAAAGCGUGGGGAGCGAACAGG
RNAcentral lists this ribosomal RNA (252 nucleotides) under uncultured bacterium. RNAcentral's name for it is "partial 16S ribosomal RNA". It matches the Rfam family "Bacterial small subunit ribosomal RNA", at positions 524 to 776 of the family's 1533-position model. The record is from RNAcentral.